CAGCUUGCGGCAGAGGAGGCAUCAUGCUCACGAAGACUGUUGUUCCGGAAUGUGGCUCAUCUCUCACACUCUGCUGACACUGCAGUUUUCCAAAACGGGAGAAACUUGGCUGCAUAAUAUCUAGUAGUGGAGGACUAUACUUGUAUUCCUCCU
RNAcentral lists this small nuclear RNA (153 nucleotides) under Bubo bubo (Eurasian eagle-owl). Its description in RNAcentral is "U1 spliceosomal RNA (ENSBOBG00000001800.1)". It matches the Rfam family "U1 spliceosomal RNA". From Rfam's summary of the family: U1 is a small nuclear RNA (snRNA) component of the spliceosome (involved in pre-mRNA splicing). Its 5' end forms complementary base pairs with the 5' splice junction, thus defining the 5' donor site of an intron. There are significant differences in sequence and secondary structure between metazoan and yeast U1 snRNAs, the latter being much longer (568 nucleotides as compared to 164 nucleotides in human). Lineage: Eukaryota; Metazoa; Chordata; Aves; Strigiformes; Strigidae. The record is from RNAcentral.